RNAcentral lists this ribosomal RNA (542 nucleotides) under Acinetobacter baumannii. RNAcentral's name for it is "bacterial SSU rRNA". It matches the Rfam family "Bacterial small subunit ribosomal RNA", at positions 795 to 1337 of the family's 1533-position model. The record is from RNAcentral. Lineage: Bacteria; Pseudomonadati; Pseudomonadota; Gammaproteobacteria; Moraxellales; Moraxellaceae.
CCAUGCCGUAAACGAUGUCUACUAGCCGUUGGGGCCUUUGAGGCUUUAGUGGCGCAGCUAACGCGAUAAGUAGACCGCCUGGGGAGUACGGUCGCAAGACUAAAACUCAAAUGAAUUGACGGGGGCCCGCACAAGCGGUGGAGCAUGUGGUUUAAUUCGAUGCAACGCGAAGAACCUUACCUGGCCUUGACAUACUAGAAACUUUCCAGAGAUGGAUUGGUGCCUUCGGGAAUCUAGAUACAGGUGCUGCAUGGCUGUCGUCAGCUCGUGUCGUGAGAUGUUGGGUUAAGUCCCGCAACGAGCGCAACCCUUUUCCUUACUUGCCAGCAUUUCGGAUGGGAACUUUAAGGAUACUGCCAGUGACAAACUGGAGGAAGGCGGGGACGACGUCAAGUCAUCAUGGCCCUUACGGCCAGGGCUACACACGUGCUACAAUGGUCGGUACAAAGGGUUGCUACACAGCGAUGUGAUGCUAAUCUCAAAAAGCCGAUCGUAGUCCGGAUUGGAGUCUGCAACUCGACUCCAUGAAGUCGGAAUCGCUA